AGCAGUAGCCACGGUAAAACGAAGGGGGCUAGCGUUGUUCGGAUUUACUGGGCGUAAAGCGCACGUAGGCGGACUUUUAAGUCAGGGGUGAAAUACCGGGGCUCAACCCCGGAACUGCCUUUGAUACUGGAAGUCUUGAGUAUGGUAGAGGUGAGUGGAAUUCCGAGUGUAGAGGUGAAAUUCGUAGAUAUUCGGAGGAACACCAGUGGCGAAGGCGGCUCACUGGACCAUUACUGACGCUGAGGUGCGAAAGCGUGGGGAGCAAACAGGAUUAGAUACCCGAGUAGUCCCUGUCUCUUAUAC
RNAcentral lists this ribosomal RNA (303 nucleotides) under uncultured bacterium. Its description in RNAcentral is "partial 16S ribosomal RNA". It matches the Rfam family "Bacterial small subunit ribosomal RNA", at positions 507 to 807 of the family's 1533-position model. The record is from RNAcentral.